GUGAACGCUGGCGGCGUGCCUAACACAUGCAAGUCGAACGAUGAUGGAGAGCUUGCUUUCUUGAUUAGUGGCGCACGGGUGAGUAAUGCAUAGAUAAUGUGCCCCUUAGUUCGGGAUAGCCACUGGAAACGGUGAUUAAUACCGGAUACUCCUUCUUACUAUAAGGUAAGUCGGGAAAGUUUUUCGCUAAGAGAUCAGUCUAUGUCCUAUCAGCUAGUUGGUGAGGUAAUGGCUCACCAAGGCUAUGACGGGUAUCUGGUGUGAGAGGAUGAUCAGACACACUGGAACUGAGACACGGUCCAGACUCCUACGGGAGGCAGCAGUGAGGAAUAUUGCACAAUGGAGGAAACUCUGAUGCAGCAACGCCGCGUGGAGGAUGACGCAUUUCGGUGUGUAAACUCCUUUUAAGAGGGAAGAGAAUGACGGUACCUCUUGAAUAAGCACCGGCUAACUCCGU
RNAcentral lists this ribosomal RNA (457 nucleotides) under uncultured bacterium. RNAcentral's name for it is "bacterial SSU rRNA". It matches the Rfam family "Bacterial small subunit ribosomal RNA", at positions 29 to 506 of the family's 1533-position model. The record is from RNAcentral.